GGUGGUGUACUACUGACUGUUUAUUAUCAGCUAAGGAAGUACAAGUGCAGGCUAGCCAUUAAGUGGAUUGUUCACGAAGCGCGGUAGUUAAUUAGUGCAGAGUGAAGACACAGACAGCGAACCAUGUAAUGAUGUUCCUCGCAACUAAAAGGAUUAUGGCACCCAAGCCUACAAAUCCACGAAACCUCCCUUUCAGUGAUACUGAGAAAAAGUUCAUCAUCAAGACUCUGAGGUGGCAUGGAACCUUCCUGCUUGAGAGAGGCCAGGUGAUAUGGUUGCCAGAAAGGAGAUUUGAAACCAGUUAGUCACCGAUGUGAACGAAGUUGGUGGUUGAGCCCACAAUUAUGAUCAAGUGUAAUAUAUAGCCACUGAUAUGAUUUCAUCAGCAUGGAGGAGGGCAGCUGCCCGAAAACAGCUUGCUUUGAUGGGGUGGUCCUGCUAUUGAGCCACCAUGGACACCAAAUGUGGAAUAAAAUUUUACUGCUA
Long non-coding RNA from Protopterus annectens (West African lungfish), 486 nucleotides. RefSeq lists it as uncharacterized. NCBI's taxonomy places the organism in Eukaryota, Metazoa, Chordata, Ceratodontiformes, Protopteridae. The transcript has 2 exons. The record is from RefSeq and is a predicted model, not a curated record.